AUCAUGGACAAUGAUAAAAAUUCACCUAUGUGUGCAAGCAGCGCUGGUACCUUGACUGCACUAUGUGACCCUCUACACAGGAGGCUGUGUGCCUUUGUUCCAGCACCAGCAAUGCACUUCUCCCUUGAAUUCCAGCUCCAGCACAUGCUCCUCAGGUCAACUUUACCUGCAGUGCUGAGCUAUUGUGACAGUAUGGCUUUUGUGACUUGCGUUGAGCAGGAAGCUUUCAAAGCCAUGUGCCAAAGAAAUGAAAAGAACCCAGAGCCGCUCGCAGAUUCCUCCAGGAAUGCGAUGAGAAGGGCCGCACCAUCCCUGUCCUACUGUUGGAAGGGAGGCACUUCUCUUUCCUUUCCCACUUUCUGUAAAACACCGCUUACUAUAAAAGGACAGCUGGAUCCGUGCCGCUCCUUCUGCGCUUCAGGCUCCAUCUUUUAAAACUUUUCUGCCCGCACCUUCCCCAUCACGAAUAAGCGCUGCGCUUUUCCGCCGUCAAUAGUUACGUCCAUGCGGAAGGGACACCUCGCAGAGCAGACGGGCCGGGUGCGGGCACCCAAAAAGCGGCAGCCGGAUUCUCAGCCGCGUUAAUUCCGCACGGAGCUGCUUGUCGGCGUAAAGCAGAACGCGGGGCCGGGGCAGGGGAGGGGGGGGUGCAGCGCUGCCCGCAGCCGUUCUCCCGACCCGGGGCCGGCCUUAGCGAUGGGGCGGAAGGGAAGCGCUGCGAGCUCGAAACGAAAGCUUUAGGAACUCGCGGCCGAGGCCUUCACGGCCACCGGGGAAAACCGCGUAUGACUCGCAGGACCUGCGAGGCGGCAUUUCUGGAAAGAGCCGGGUGUAAAAGCGCUAAAGUAUAUUUUAAAGAAUUGAAGUAUUGGGCACGGCCGCAGGGACAGAGCGUGAGAAGGGCCGGCCGUAACGUACCCGUGCAAGCAAUUGAGGCGAUCAAAAGCAAAACAGACGCCGAGGGGAAUCGGCAGCGAACGGGCCACGGCUGUGCCAACCCGCCAGGGCCCUUUGCUGGCCGCACCCGGAGCGCUAAGCACAACGACGGGCUCAGCCCACAGCCCUGCACGGCGCCGUCCCGCAGCACCCCGAGGCUUCUCCCCCUGUGAGCCUCGAGCCGGGUCGAGAUGCGUACGGAACGUACUUAGGAUUGAGCCGAGGGGCGAAACGCUCGCUCGGUUGGUGCAGAGGAAACGGAGCAGAGCUACAACCUAGCAGGACAAAGGAGACACUAUUGACUCAUUCCAGACUGCCGACUUAGCAGCUCAACUUUGUUUCCUUUUAACUUUAGUAACAGUAGGAGCUCAGAGCUCCCCGCUCCGUUCUCCGCGCAAAUAGAAACACCUGGACUUCAAAACAGCAACGCUCUUUGAAGCCACCCCGAGCCAUUAACACAUUAAAAACCUCCGUGCGCUGCCUCAAUCCCGCACUAAAC
Molecule: long non-coding RNA, 1435 nt
Filed under: Coturnix japonica (Japanese quail)
Lineage: Eukaryota; Metazoa; Chordata; Aves; Galliformes; Phasianidae
Description: lncRNA (ENSCJPG00005019800.1)
Source: RNAcentral